GCCUGUUGCUGGUGCCUUGCUGCGGGAUUUGGGCCUCUAUUGAGCCUACUGCUAAUGGCCUACUGGCUGUGGCUUGCUGGCAGCACAGGUUGGGUCUGGGUCAACUAGCACAGGUUGGGUCGGACCCGACUAUUAUAUAUAUAUUUUUAUUUUUUCUUUCCUUUUUAUUUUUUCCUUUCUUUUUUUCUUUUUCUUCUUUCUUUUGCAAACCCUAACUCUUCACGCCGCUACCGUUUCUCUUCGCCCGGUGGUGCAACGGUGGCCGGUCUCCCUCUUUUUCUCCUUCUAUUUUUCUUUUCUCUCCUCUUUUUUUCUUCCUUUCUCCUUUCCUUUCUUCCCCUCUUUUUCCUUCUUUUCUAUUUUCGAAAUCCUCAACUUUGAAGGCGUCACCACCGCCCCAAUUCGCCGCUCACAGCUCGGUUCUCCUCCGCCCUCGGUGGCCGUGGAAAAAGGAUGAAAUAUCUUGCUAUUUUUUUGAUUUUCCUGCUAUCUUUUGACUGUUUUUUAUUUUUUUCUUCUUGCUUCUUGCUUUUUGGUUGCUUGUUGAUUGUUGUGUUGGAUUUGUUUUUUUUUGGUGAUGGUGAAGGAUGAGGGUGGAAGGGCCGUGGGUGUGAUGGUUUUGGGAGAGCGACGGGGGGUGCGAGCGGAGGUUGGUUUUGAUUGUGCAGCCGUGGAAGACCACGGGUCGAUAAGGGUGGAUUCGGGCUUGAGGGUGGCGAGUGGUGGUUGAUUCAGUUCUGGGGGGACUGAAUAGAGGUUCCAUUUUGCUCUCUAUUUUUCUCUUUUUUCUUGCUGAAAAACCGAACCCUCUCUUCCUCUCAUUUUUCCCUUUUU
Molecule: long non-coding RNA, 834 nt
Filed under: Gossypium raimondii (Peruvian cotton)
Lineage: Eukaryota; Viridiplantae; Streptophyta; Magnoliopsida; Malvales; Malvaceae
Description: long non-coding RNA (GRAI_LNC004044)
Source: RNAcentral